GACGAACCGUGCGAACGUUGUUCGGAAUCACUGGGCUUAAAGGGCGCGUAGGCGGGCUAUCAAGUCCGGGGUGAAAUCCUCCAGCUUAACUGGAGAAUGGCCUCGGAUACUGAUGGUCUCGAGGAGGAUAGGGGCACACGGAACUGUGGGUGGAGCGGUGAAAUGCGUUGAUAUCCAUAGGAACUCCGGUGGCGAAAGCGGUGUGCUGGAUCCUUUCUGACGCUGAGGCGCGAAAGCCAGGGGAGCAAACGGG
Molecule: ribosomal RNA, 253 nt
Filed under: uncultured bacterium
Lineage: Bacteria
Description: partial 16S ribosomal RNA
Rfam family: Bacterial small subunit ribosomal RNA
Source: RNAcentral